RNAcentral lists this unclassified non-coding RNA (211 nucleotides) under Hevea brasiliensis (rubber tree). The record is from RNAcentral. Lineage: Eukaryota; Viridiplantae; Streptophyta; Magnoliopsida; Malpighiales; Euphorbiaceae.
UAAAAGAUCAAACUUUUCAGAUUGAGCAUUGUUUGGCUCAACAGAAUUAUCAAACUGAAACAGUACAUUUCGGUUGAUUUGGUUCGGUUUUCUUAUAAAUUCAGUUAAAAUUAAUUUAAAUUGGCUUUCAUAACCACUUUACUUUAAAAACCAAAUUUACUGAAUUAUAUUUUAUGAUUUCUUAAUUUACUUUAAUAUAUUUGUAUGUAAA